Molecule: non-coding RNA, 732 nt
Organism: Alligator mississippiensis (American alligator)
Lineage: Eukaryota; Metazoa; Chordata; Crocodylia; Alligatoridae
Source: the annotation of a RefSeq genome assembly
AUGGGCCUUUUGCUCCUGUCCCUCCUGCUCUUGGCCGGUGCACCAGGGGUCUGCUCCCAGGUUCAGCUGCUCCAGGCCACUGCGGCCCAGGAAAAGCCUGCAGGGACCUUGAGACUCACUUGUGCCGUGUCUGGAUUCUCCCUCACUGAAUAUGGGAGUUCUUUGAUCUGGAUCCGACAGCCCCCAGGGAAAGGCCUGGAGUGGCUAUGCAUCAUCUACGGGGAUGAUGACAAGCGCUACCAGGACUCCAUGAAGUCCCGCCUGACCAUCUCCAGGGACACGUCCAAAAGCGAGGUGUAUUUGGAGCUGACAGGCCUGGAAGCCAGAGACAGCGGCACCUACUACUGUGUCCUGGCCCAGGUCACACUGAAGGAGUCUGGCCCUGGGGUGGUGAAGCCCGGAGAGACCCUCAGCCUGACCUGCACCGUGUCUGGAGUCUCUCUCACUAGCAGUGAUGUGAGCUGGGUUCGGCAGGCAGCAGGGAAAGGGCUGGAGUGGGUUGGAGUUAUCUGGGGUGGUGGAAGCAGCUACUAUAACAGCGCUCUCCAAAGCCGCCUCACCAUCAUAAGAGACACGUCCAGCAGCCAAGUUUACCUGCGUCUGACCGGGGUCCAACCUGCAGACACGGCCUGGUAUUACUGUGCCAGGAACACAGUGAAUGAAAAUGCAUGAGAGCCUGCACAAAAACCAGCCUGCAGCACCUGCCUGCCUGUGUGAGCAGCAGAGGCAGCA